RNAcentral lists this long non-coding RNA (3010 nucleotides) under Mus musculus (house mouse). RNAcentral describes it as "long non-coding RNA chrX:155265439-155268449". Lineage: Eukaryota; Metazoa; Chordata; Mammalia; Rodentia; Muridae. The record is from RNAcentral.
AUCUUGGGGUUCUGUGGCCUGAGAAUCCUAAAGGCCCACGGCAGUUUCCUCCCCCUAUCCUAGGGAUUGUGGUGAGCUGCUCUGUGAGAUUAUUGGAAAUAAGGAAGCUAGUAAAGUAAUUGUGAUGUACUGCUUCAUCACCUACCAGUGCUCUGAACACAGUCUGUUAGGAGUUUUUGUCAUUAUGCAACAUCACAGAGUGGACUUACACAAACUCAGAUGACAUAGCCUAGACCAAAUGAUAAAACUAACAGCUCCUCAGCUGGGAACCUAUAGCGUAGUACUAUGUUGAAUAGUGUGUGCUAUUGUAACAUAUUGGUAAGUUAUUUCUAUGUCUAAAACAAACAAACAAACAAACAAACAAAAAGAUAGAGUAGUAAUUUGCUAUAAAAUAAAGAAGGGUGCAUUUCUUUACCAUUAACAGAGCUUAUGGGACUAGAAGUUGUUCUAGAUGAGUCAGCUUAAAACACAAAUAUAUUGUAUAGCUGUUAAAACUCUAUUCUUCUUCAAAUCACUGUUCUAUAAGUGUUCAAGGUUUAAGGGACUAGAGAGAUGGCUGUGUGGCUAAGAGCACUUGUUGCUCUUCCAGAGGACCUGAGUUUGGACCUCAUACCUGUUUCAAACAGCUCACAGCCACCUGUAACUCCAGCUCAGCAGAGUCAUUGCCCCACAGGACAUCCUCCCUCCCACACAUACAUGUGCAAAUACCUACAUACAGAUGCAUACAUACCUCAGCCUCUCAAGUGCUCUGAUUGCAAGCAUGUGCCACCACCCUUGAGUUUAUGUGUGUUAGAAAUGGAACCCAGGGCCUCAAGCAUACUGGGCAAGCACUCAACCAACUCAGCUAUCUGCUCAGUCCAUACAAAAAUACUGUAUUCGUAUUUGAAUACUUUUUAAAGUAUUCAAAUUUCCCCUUGAAUAUAUUUCUAAUUUUAAGGCUGCAUACAGAAAUUAGGGCCUUAAGACUGAAUUUCCAAAUAUUUUGACCUAGGUGUUUUUUUUAUAUUUAGUUCUCCCUUUUUAUGUUACUGGGGUUUGAAAUCAGGUCCAUUUUGUCUUUCAGUAAAUGUUAGCAACAGAAAUGACUAGCCGUUCUUUUUGCAGCAUGUUCUUCAUAUGGGGUCUGUGUGCGUGUAAGGUGGUGUAUGCAUAUGUAUGUGUGCAAGUGUGUUUGUCCAUGUUUGCACGCAGAAACGAGAUCAUCAGGCAUCCUGCUCUAUCACUUGCCUUAUUCCCAUAAGACAGUAGCUCUCACUGAGACUAGAGGUUAUCAUCUAGGCUAGACUGGCUGGCCAACAAGCCCUGGUGAUCUUCCCGUCUCUGGGAUUUUAGGCAUGCAGCCACACCUGACUUUGUAUGUGGUUGCCAAUAUUUGAAUCCAGGUCUUCAUGCUUGCAUAGCAAGCAUUUCUACCUACCAAGCAUCUCCCCAAUUUUUCCAAUGCUUUGUAUUGAAAAAAAAUUGUGUGUAUAUCUACAUGAUCUCUCUCUUUCUGUCUCUGUCUCUGUCUCUCUCUGCCUGUCUCUGCCUGUCUCUGUGUGUGUGUGUGUGUGUGUGUGUGCAUGUGGUGGUAAAAGGCCAGCUUUGUGGAGUCAGGUUUUUUCCUUUUACCAUUUUGUGGGUCCUGCAGAUUGAAACACAUCUUGCCAGAGUGAUGACUUUAUCACCCUCCACAUCCUGUUAUGUUCUUUCAAACUAGGUAUGUUCUAUUUCAGAACCCUGGUUUGUGGGGUGGCAGAAGACUAUAUAACCUACUUCCAUGAGUAAUAGAUUUGAACUCAAAACAGUGAAAAAUAGAAAAAUCUAAAUAACAUUCUGUGAAAAUUCCAAUUUGAAGAUUAAGAUCAAGAAUACCAAAGUAUUAAUCUAUGUAGAAAUGUACAGAAAGGGGAAAGAUUAUCAAUGACAAAUAGAGAAUAUAAAGACUAAAGUCCUCCAGCAAGCAUUUCUGUUUUAGUAGGGCCAGCAGAGAUUGUGUCACAGCUAAAUAAGAUGACCAGGUAGCUAAGGACUUAAAAAUUCCAAUGAGCAAGUAUGCAUAAUUAUGUGUUCUUUUGCAACUGAAUUAAUUGGCUUGGUGAAAGGUCAAAGAUUUAGUCUGGCAACACAUAAUUGUCAAAACUACAUGUAGGUAGUGGAUUUAAUAAAAUGUUUUUACUGAGGGACUUCCACUCACUGAUUGCUGUAAUUCAGUAACUUGGAGUCUAAGGAAAGGUAAAGAUAUAAUUUUUUGGUUAGUCAUUAUCCUCAACAUUGUGUAGAAAGAAUUUGCUAUUAACUUGUGCUAGAAUGACUUGGCAGUGUUUGGUAUUCUUGAUUCCUUCAAUAGCUUUUUAACUGUGCUUUCACAGAUCAGUUUGUUAAUUUCCAGUGUGUGUGUGUGUGUGUGUGUGUGUGUGUGUGUGUUUGAAAAAACAGCCUCAUCAUUUAGCCCUCACUGUGGCUGGCCUUGAACUCACAAGGAUCUGUCACCAUACCAGGCAUAUAUAUAUAAAUAUAUAUAUAAUUACUGAUAUGGUAGUAUAUGGUUAAGAGUCAACACAAGCAAAAGUAAGCUAAAAUCAAUUUACCUAGUUGAGCUUUGAGAGGGUUGCUAUGUUCCCAUUGAGUACAUAGCUUUUAUUUUAUUUCAUUAGCGACCUAGGACAUUUCUAGACAAGUCAAGUAAGUCCUUUGAGUGCAAAGGGCUGAUUCAAAGUUCAAAGAUGAUUAGUUUGUAAUUGGGUUGAUCUUACUUAUUGAGGAAGUAUGGUGUGAUAAUAAAGAACAAAGUAAAUGUUCAUAAUUAACGUGCUCAUUUGCUUAUGAAAUUAGUUCUGGGCUUCUGAAGCCAAUAAAAUGGAACGGGCAAGAUGGAUCCAUUAAACCUCAUCCAUAUCUCUUGUUGAUUUUGCAGAUAAUUAUAAUGUUUGUCUUGAUCUCAAGAAGUAGUUGGGCUGAGGAUAUAUAUAGCUCAGAGGGAGAGCACUGGCCUAGCAUUUUUAAGGCCCUGGGUUCAAUCCCUAGUAUU